AAAAGUAAGUAAGGGCAGACGGUGGAUGCCUAGGCUCUCGGAGGCGAAGAAGGACGUGAUAAGCUGCGAAAAGCUGCGGGAAUCGGCACAUACGAAUUGAUCCGCAGAUAUCCGAAUGGGGCAACCCGUCAGGCCAAGGCCUGACACAUGAAUUGAUUUCAUGAGCGAACGCGGGGAACUGAAACAUCUCAUUACCCGUAGGAGAAGAAAACAAAAGUGAUUCCCUCAGUAGUGGCGAGCGAACGGGGAUUAGCCCAAACCGGCUUUGUUUCGGCAAAGUCGGGGUAAUAGGACUUCGACAAAAGUUUAAUGGUUAGAUAUAGGAGAACCUACUGGAAAGUAUGGCCGAAGAGCAUGAAAGCUGCGUAUCCGACAUAUCGAACAAUAGACGACGGAGCACCUGAGUAGCGCGGGACACGAGACAUCCUGUGUGAAUUGGCGGGGCCCAUCCCGUAAGGCUAAAUACUCCCGAGAGACCGAUAGUGAACCAGUACCGUGAGGGAAAGGUGAAAAGAACCUCGAACAGAGGAGUGCAAUAGACCCUGAACCCGUCUGCCUACAAGCGGUAGGAGCGCCAUUAAGGUGUGACUGCGUGCCUUUUGCAUAAUGAACCUACGAGUUACUGUUUGUGGCAAGGUUAAUUGUUAUAAUCAAGACAAGGAGCCGAAGCGAAAGCGAGUCUUAAAAGGGCGCCCAUUUAGUCACGAGCAGUAGACGCGAAACCAAGUGAUCUACCCUUGGUCAGGUUGAAGGUUAGGUAACACUAACUGGAGGACCGAAUCGGUAAGCGUUGAAAAGCUUUCGAAUGAACUGAGGGUAGGGGUGAAAGGCUAAUCAAACUUGGAGAUAGCUCGUACUCCCCGAAAUGCAUUUAGGUGCAGCCUGUUGGAUGUUAUCAUGAGGUAGAGCGACUGAUUGGAUGCGAGGGUUUCACCGCCUAUCAAGUCCAGAUAAACUCCGAAUGCAUGAUAAUUGACCGAUGGAGUGAGGGCAUGGGUGCUAAGGUCCAUGUCCGAGAGGAGAAGAAUCCGGACCACCGGCUAAGGUCCCGAAAUAAUUGCUAAGUUGUAAAAACGAAGUCAAGAUGCAGAGACAGCUAGGAUGUUGGCUUGGAAGCAGCCAUUCAUUUAAAGAGUGCGUAACAGCUCACUAGUCGAGGAUUUUGGCAUGGAUAAUACACGGGCAUAAGCAAUUUACCGAAGCCGUGGGAUAUAAUAAUAUAUCGGUAGGGGAGCAUUCCAGCGACGUAGAAGGGAAAAGGGCGACUUUUUCUGGAGUUUCUGGAAAAGCAAAUGUAGGUAUAAGUAACGAUAAAGGGGGCGAGAACCCCCCUCGCCGAAAGACCAAGGUUUCCUGAUCAACGCUAAUCGGAUCAGGGUUAGUCGGGGCCUAAGGAUAAGCCGAAUGGCGAUUCCGAUGGAAGAACCGGUUAAUAUUCCGGUACUGAUACAGAGAGCGAUGUGGUGACGGAGAAGUGACAGUCCGGCCGUCUGACGGAAUAGGCGGUUAAAGGGUGUAGAUGUUGAUCGGGGUAGGCAAAUCCGCCCUGAGAGUCGAACCUGAUAGUACCCGGAGUACAUGUACGAAGGGAUAAGGACGUAAACCGGCUCCCAAGAAAACCCGCUAAGCAUAUUUCUGUGUUACCCGUACCGUAAACCGACACAGGUGGUUGGGUUGAGUAUACUAAGGCGCUCGAGAGAUUCGCGGUUAAGGAACUAGGCAAAAUGGUCCUGUAACUUCGGGAGAAAGGACGCCUGUCUCCGGACAGGCCGCAGAAACCAGGCCCAGGCGACUGUUUAACAAAAACACAAGGCUAUGCAAAAAAGCAAUUUGAGGUAUAUAGUCUGACACCUGCCCGGUGCUGGAAGGUUAAGAGGAGGAGUCAUCGUCAAGAGAAGCUCUGAAUUGAAGCCCCAGUAAACGGCGGCCGUAACUAUAACGGUCCUAAGGUAGCGAAAUUCCUUGUCGGGUAAGUUCCGACCUGCACGAAUGGUGUAACGAUCUGGGCACUGUCUCAACCGCGAUCUCGGUGAAAUUGUAGUAUCGGUGAAGAUGCCGAUUACCCGCAACGGGACGAAAAGACCCCGUGAACCUUUACUAUAGCUUUACAUUGUAUUUGGGCAUCAGAUGUGUAGGAUAGGCCGGAGGCAGAGAAGCGGGUACGCCAGUAUUCGUGGAGUCGAUGUUGAAAUACGG
This 2196-nucleotide ribosomal RNA is filed under the name Porphyromonas gingivalis. Its description in RNAcentral is "bacterial LSU rRNA". It matches the Rfam family "Bacterial large subunit ribosomal RNA", at positions 1 to 2202 of the family's 2925-position model. The record is from RNAcentral. Lineage: Bacteria; Pseudomonadati; Bacteroidota; Bacteroidia; Bacteroidales; Porphyromonadaceae.